Non-coding RNA from Schizosaccharomyces pombe (fission yeast), 557 nucleotides. NCBI's taxonomy places the organism in Eukaryota, Fungi, Ascomycota, Schizosaccharomycetes, Schizosaccharomycetales, Schizosaccharomycetaceae. The record is from the annotation of a GenBank genome assembly.
UUUUGGCUCAAGGUUAGACAUUCUUCUUCGUUUUUCCGACAAGAGACGAUCAGCAUGAGUACCGGAUGUAAGUAGCUCUAUAGCACUUCUCAAGGUGGGCGUGAAAUCCCGAAUUUUGAUUUCCGUUUUGACAUCGAUAACAUUACGAUCUUCAGUAGGGCGGUAGACGUGAAAUAAAAGUGACAAUGCUUCUAAUUUUUUUUUAUCUGUAUUGAAAACAUGUGAAAGAACAGAUUCGCGUGGAAAAAUCCAUUUAGUAUCAGGGGCAUCUGAGAACUCCAUUACAAUGUCAAAAUGCCUCCUCACUUCCUUUUUGUUGUUUAUCAAAGAAUCAAAAAACUCAUCUUUAUCCUGCUGAUUUAUGGAAAGAGUGAUGCGUUUUCUGGGUGGUUUUUUAGCGCGUUUGGGUAAUGGAAAAGUGCUAGGACCAAUUAAUUCAUUAUGAAGAAGCAUACAUUGUUCAGGAGUUCCCAGGCCCUUCGAAAUCCUUUUUAAAAUAUUGAAAAUAGUAGGGUCUUCAUUAGCGCGAGAUUUAAGACGCUGUAAUGAAGCAUCAG